This 478-nucleotide ribosomal RNA is filed under the name uncultured bacterium. Its description in RNAcentral is "partial 16S ribosomal RNA". It matches the Rfam family "Bacterial small subunit ribosomal RNA", at positions 28 to 523 of the family's 1533-position model. The record is from RNAcentral.
GACGAACGCUGGCGGCGUGCUUAACACAUGCAAGUCGAACGGUAAAGCCUUUCGGGGUACACGAGUGGCGAACGGGUGAGUAACACGUGGGUGAUCUGCCCUGCACUUCGGGAUAAGCCUGGGAAACUGGGUCUAAUACCGGAUAGGACCACUGCCUGCAUGGGUGGUGGUGGAAAGCUUUUGCGGUGUGGGAUGGGCCCGCGGCCUAUCAGCUUGUUGGUGGGGUGAUGGCCUACCAAGGCGACGACGGGUAGCCGGCCUGAGAGGGUGACCGGCCACACUGGGACUGAGAUACGGCCCAGACUCCUACGGGAGGCAGCAGUGGGGAAUAUUGCACAAUGGGCGCAAGCCUGAUGCAGCGACGCCGCGUGAGGGAUGACGGCCUUCGGGUUGUAAACCUCUUUCAGCACCGACGAAGCGCAAGUGACGGUAGGUGCAGAAGAAGGACCGGCCAACUACGUGCCAGCAGCCGCCGUAA